This is a non-coding RNA of Misgurnus anguillicaudatus (oriental weatherfish), 886 nucleotides long. NCBI's taxonomy places the organism in Eukaryota, Metazoa, Chordata, Actinopteri, Cypriniformes, Cobitidae. The record is from RefSeq and is a predicted model, not a curated record.
GAGAUGGGUAUAAACGGAGGUCGGAGCCAGCUGCAAAUGGGAGGGUUAGCAGCAAGUGGGUGGAGCUUUACCCGCAAGUGGGCUGUACAAACUUCCAGAGGAUUUUGAUUGGUUUAUUUAUAUCACCUGUAGCAGCUAUUGGUUUAUGCUCCACAGUUGGUGGCGCUAAUGUGUAAGUUUUGUUGCGAUCGAUCAGAAAACAAAGAAGAAACCCGCUUUCACAUGUUAGCGUGUUGUUGAAAUGAAGGUGUAAGCUUGCUUUACAGUUUUUAGUUUUGUAAAAAAGCAUUAUAAGUUCUGAAGAAGACCAUUUUAUAAUGGCGUUUGUACGCUGUUUUUAGUCUUGAUGUAUUAAAAAAGAUAAGGGUAAAGUGUAUCCAGAUACAUUUCUGUAGUUUUUUAUUAGCACACAAAUUACAAAAUCUGUAACGUGGAUGACAAAAUCUUUUCUGCAUUCCAUUUCUACAAUUUGCUCUCCAGAUUAUGGAUUCUGAAGACCAUAAUAAUAAGGACAAUGCAGGACAAAGGCUGUCAAAUAACUGGAGUGUUUGUCUUGAUGGCAAUAUGCACUGUAUGUUAUUCUGGGACAGAAGUUUGACUUCACUGAACUAAACAUGAAGAACAUAGAAAACGGUGGUGUGCCAUCUUGCUUGAAAAUUAAGUAAGUGUGAAAAAAUUAGCUGUACUUUUAACGUGGUGUUUUAAGAAACUCUUAAAGAAGUGAAAAAAAUCUUGUUCAGUCUGUAAACUGUUUUGGGAAGACAUGGAACGGAAUGAUUUAGUGACUCGCUCAUAACACUAUUUCAGUAAAAAUAUAUUCUGCAGACACUUUGAGUGAAAAGAGUGUUUCAGUGAUGAUAAAAAUCAGCAGGUGUAAACACUACUU